This 253-nucleotide ribosomal RNA is filed under the name uncultured bacterium. RNAcentral describes it as "partial 16S ribosomal RNA". It matches the Rfam family "Bacterial small subunit ribosomal RNA", at positions 524 to 776 of the family's 1533-position model. The record is from RNAcentral.
UACGGGGGGGGCAAGCGUUGUUCGGAAUUACUGGGCGUAAAGGGCUCGUAGGCGGCCAACUAAGCCGGAUGUGAAAUCCCCAGGCUUAACCUGGGAACUGCAUCCGAUACUGGAUGGCUUGAAUCCGGGAGAGGGAUGCAGAAUUCCAGGUGUAGCGGUGAAAUGCGUAGAUAUCUGGAGGAACACCGGUGGCGAAGGCGGCAUCCUGGACCAAUAUUGACGCUGAGGAGCGAAAGCCAGGGGAGCAAACGGG